CCCCCCCCCCCCCCCCCCCCCCCCCCCCCCCCCCCCCCCCCCCCCCCCCCCCCCCCCCCCCCCCCCCCCCCCCCCCCCCCCCCCCCCCACCCUGCACCCUACUCUGAGAGCAUCCCUGUCACCCUGCUUGUCACCAGGCCCCUGACACUGUCGUCAGUCCUGAGCUGCUGCCUGGGUGUUGCCAUCCAUCCCUGCAGGAUGUCAGUUUUUGUCCCAAUGAAGGUACAGUGCCAUUCCAUGGAAGUGGGCUGGAGCUCUGUGGGGGAUGGUGCGGGACAGGGACCCCACUCUGAGGUUUGGCUCCCUGUGCAGGCUGCCACAGACACUGAGGAGAUGGAGGUGGACAUUAAGAUAGACGUGGAGGAAAACAUUGAAGCAGAUGUAGACAAUGGAGAGGAAGAGAUGGAGGUGGAGCUGGAGCUGGGGGUGGAGGAGAUGGAGGAAGAGAUGUAUGAAGGGAUGGAUGUGGAUGUGGAGGAGAUGGAGGAAGAGAUGGAGGUGGAAAUGGAGGAUUAUGCUGAAGACAUGGAAGUGGAUGAGAAAGGACCCAUGGAGAUGCCAGGCAGGGAUGCCACCCAUCUGGAUAUAUGUAGAGUGUUCUUCAGUACUCUUCUGUAUAUACAUUUUAGAGAGCAUUGUUGUCUUUUGUAAGUAUGUUUAAUACAUAGUUGUUAUAUAGGUUCUUGGGUAAAUAUGUUUUAUAUUUUAUUGUUGUUAUAGAGUUCAUUACCAUUUAAAUAUAUGGUGUAGUUCACUGCUGUUUCUGCUUUUCUGCAAAUAAACUAUCUUUUUUUUUUCACACCCCAGCCCUCUUUCCAUUUGCUUUGGGCACAGGCAGCAUGUGCAGAGUUGUGGUUUCCUCUUGCUGUGGGUUCCCUGGGCUGGAGAUGUCUGGGCAUGCAGGGUUGGGGGUCCCUGUGCACAGAGCAGGUCCCACUUAGAGCUCUGUACACACUUGGGAUUUGUAGAGGCAGAUCCCACAGGGCCCUUUCCCACGGAUUACAUCUGGGAGCAGGGCCGAGCCUGCUGGGUCCUGCAGAGCCUCCUCAGUGACACUUCACUAGAUGGCACCAGACACCAGUGCUAGGAGGGUGAGGCUGGGCUGUGGGCACCCCCUUCUCUUCUCCUGGGCACCCCGAGCAGCUGGAGCCAGCCUGGAGCUCAGGGGAGAUUCCUGGGCAAAGAGCUGGGCAGGGAUGGAUGGAUGGAUGGAUGGAUGGAUGGAUGGAUGGAUGGAUGGAUGGAUGGAUGGAUGGAUGGAUGGAUGGAUGGAUGGAUGGAUGGAUGGAUGG
RNAcentral lists this long non-coding RNA (1292 nucleotides) under Ficedula albicollis (Collared flycatcher). RNAcentral's name for it is "lncRNA (ENSFALG00000024135.1)". The record is from RNAcentral. Lineage: Eukaryota; Metazoa; Chordata; Aves; Passeriformes; Muscicapidae.